AUUGAACGCUGGCGGCAGGCCUAACACAUGCAAGUCGAGCGGAUGAAGGGAGCUUGCUCCUGGAUUCAGCGGCGGACGGGUGAGUAAUGCCUAGGAAUCUGCCUGGUAGUGGGGGAUAACGUCCGGAAACGGGCGCUAAUACCGCAUACGUCCUGAGGGAGAAAGUGGGGGAUCUUCGGACCUCACGCUAUCAGAUGAGCCUAGGUCGGAUUAGCUAGUUGGUGGGGUAAAGGCCUACCAAGGCGACGAUCCGUAACUGGUCUGAGGGGAGGAUCAGGCACACGGGUGGGAAGACAAGGUCCAGACGCCUACGGGAGGCAGCAGUGGGGAAGAUUGGAGCACGGGGGGAAGCCGGAUCCAGCCAUGCCGCGUGUGUGGAGAAGGUCUUCGGAUUGUAGAGCACUUUAAGUUGGGAGGAAGGGCAGUAAGUUAAUACCUUGCUGUGUUGACGUUACCAACAGAAGAAGCACCGGCUAACUUCGUG
This 484-nucleotide ribosomal RNA is filed under the name uncultured bacterium. Its description in RNAcentral is "partial 16S ribosomal RNA". It matches the Rfam family "Bacterial small subunit ribosomal RNA", at positions 29 to 507 of the family's 1533-position model. The record is from RNAcentral.